AACGCUGGCGGCGUGGCUAAGACAUGCAAGUCGAACGGGGCCCGCAAGGGUCCAGUGGCGGACGGGUGAGUAAUGUAUCGCUAACGUGCCCCGGAGCCUGGGAUAGCCUUCCGAAAGGGAGGGUAAUACCAGAUGACAUGACCUGGUUGCAUGACCGGGUCCUCAAAGCAGCAAUGCACUCUGGGAGCGGGCGAUAUCGUAUCAGCUAGUUGGCGGGGUAACGGCCCACCAAGGCGACGACGCGUAGCCGGACUGAGAGGUUGGCCGGCCACAUUGGGACUGAGACACUGCCCAGACUCCUACGGGGGGCUGCAGUAACGAAUCUUCCGCAAUGCACGCAAGUGUGACGGAGCGACGCCGCGUGUGGGACGAAGCCCUUCGGGGUGUAAACCACUGUCAGGGGCAGCCAAGUUCUGAGGCGCCCCAGAGGAAGGCACGGCUAACUCUGUGCCAGCAGCCGCGGUAAGACAGAGGUGCCGAGCGUUAGGCGGAAUCACUGGGCUUAAAGCGUGUGUAGGCGGGUCGUUAAGUGCCUUGUGAAAUCCCACGGCUCAACCGUGGAACUGCUGGGCAUACUGGCGAUCUUGGGCCAACCAGGGGUCAUCGGAACAAACGGUGGAGCGGUGAAAUGCGUAGAUAUCGUUUGGAACGCCGACGGCGAAAGCAGAUGACUGGGGUUGCGCCGACGCUGAGACACGAAAGCCAGGGGAGCGAACGGGAUUAGAUACCCCGGUAGUCCUGGCCGUAAACGAUGUCGACUGGGUCGUGGGGACCUCUGACGGUUUCGCGGCCGAAGCAAAAGUGCUAAGUCGACCGCCUG
Molecule: ribosomal RNA, 820 nt
Filed under: uncultured bacterium
Lineage: Bacteria
Description: bacterial SSU rRNA
Rfam family: Bacterial small subunit ribosomal RNA
Source: RNAcentral